This 252-nucleotide ribosomal RNA is filed under the name uncultured bacterium. Its description in RNAcentral is "partial 16S ribosomal RNA". It matches the Rfam family "Bacterial small subunit ribosomal RNA", at positions 525 to 776 of the family's 1533-position model. The record is from RNAcentral.
ACAGAGAGUGCAAACGUUGUUCGGAAUCACUGGGCUUAAAGCGCGCGUAGGCGGCAUUGUAAGUGUCGGGUGAAAUCCCACGGCUCACCCGUGGAAUUGCCCGGCAGACUGCAGUGCUAGAGUGUGGUAGGGGAGAGCGGAACUCAUGGUGGAGCGGUGAAAUGCGUAGAUAUCAUGAGGAACACCGGUGGCGAAGGCGGCUCUCUGGUCCAUAACUGACGCUGAGGUGCGAAAGCUAGGGUAGCGAACGGG